This 497-nucleotide ribosomal RNA is filed under the name uncultured bacterium. RNAcentral describes it as "partial 16S ribosomal RNA". It matches the Rfam family "Bacterial small subunit ribosomal RNA", at positions 28 to 507 of the family's 1533-position model. The record is from RNAcentral.
GACGGACGCUGGCGGCGUGCCUAAUACAUGCAAGUUGAGCGCUGAAGGUUGGUACUUGUACCAACUGGAUGAGCAGCGAACGGGUGAGUAACGCGUGGGGAAUCUGCCUUUGAGCGGGGGACAACAUUUGGAAACGAAUGCUAAUACCGCAUAAAAACUUUAAACACAAGUUUUAAGUUUGAAGGAUGCAAUUGCAUCACUCAAAGAUGAUCCCGCGUUGUAUUAGCUAGUUGGUGAGGUAAAGGCUCACCAAGGCGAUGAUACAUAGCCGACCUGAGAGGGUGAUCGGCCACAUUGGGACUGAGACACGGCCCAAACUCCUACGGGAGGCAGCAGUAGGGAAUCUUCGGCAAUGGACGAAAGUCUGACCGAGCAACGCCGCGUGAGUGAAGAAGGUUGUCGGAUCGUAAAACUCUGUUGGUAGAGAAGAACGUUGGUGAGAGUGGAAAGCUCAUCAAGUGACGGUAACUACCCAGAAAGGGACGGCUAACUACGUG